RNAcentral lists this ribosomal RNA (486 nucleotides) under uncultured bacterium. Its description in RNAcentral is "partial 16S ribosomal RNA". It matches the Rfam family "Bacterial small subunit ribosomal RNA", at positions 30 to 507 of the family's 1533-position model. The record is from RNAcentral.
AUUGAACGCUGGCGGCAUGCCUUACACAUGCAAGUCGAACGGCAGCACGGGUGCUUGCACCUAGUGGCGAGUGGCGAACGGGUGAGUAAUACAUCGGAACAUGUCCUGUAGUGGGGGAUAGCCCGGCGAAAGCCGGAUUAAUACCGCAUACGAUCCACGGAUGAAAGCGGGGGACCUUCGGGCCUCGCGCUAUAGGGUUGGCCGAUGGCUGAUUAGCUAGUUGGUGGGGUAAAGGCCUACCAAGGCGACGAUCAGUAGCUGGUCUGAGAGGACGACCAGCCACACUGGGACUGAGACACGGCCCAGACUCCUACGGGAGGCAGCAGUGGGGAAUUUUGGACAAUGGGCGAAAGCCUGAUCCAGCAAUGCCGCGUGUGUGAAGAAGGCCUUCGGGUUGUAAAGCACUUUUGUCCGGAAAGAAAUCCUUGGCUCUAAUACAGUCGGGGGAUGACGGUACCGGAAGAAUAAGCACCGGCUAACUACGUG